This 71-nucleotide transfer RNA is filed under the name Ovis aries (sheep). It matches the Rfam family "tRNA". From Rfam's summary of the family: Transfer RNA (tRNA) molecules are approximately 80 nucleotides in length. Their secondary structure includes four short double-helical elements and three loops (D, anti-codon, and T loops). Lineage: Eukaryota; Metazoa; Chordata; Mammalia; Artiodactyla; Bovidae. The record is from Rfam by way of RNAcentral.
UCCUUGAUGGCUCAGACAGUAAAGUGUCUGUCUCAAUGCAGGAGACCCAGGUUCGAUCCCUGGUUCGGGAA